This is a long non-coding RNA of Octopus sinensis (East Asian common octopus), 163 nucleotides long. RefSeq lists it as uncharacterized. The record is from RefSeq and is a predicted model, not a curated record. Lineage: Eukaryota; Metazoa; Mollusca; Cephalopoda; Octopoda; Octopodidae. The transcript is spliced from 3 exons.
AUAGGUAUGUAUAGAGGUCCCCCGAUCACUUAUCUGGUGGUCAAUGCAGAAACUAGGGAUAGAUGAGUGGUUAGUGAGAGCUGUACAAGCCAUGUACAGGAAUGCUGACAGUGAAGUGAGGGUCGGCAACGAGCACAGUGAAGAAUUCCGGGUAGGAGCAGGG